Spinacia oleracea (spinach) is the source of this 803-nucleotide long non-coding RNA. RefSeq lists it as uncharacterized. The record is from RefSeq and is a predicted model, not a curated record. Lineage: Eukaryota; Viridiplantae; Streptophyta; Magnoliopsida; Caryophyllales; Amaranthaceae. The transcript has 3 exons.
AAUUACCUGCCCCUUUACCUCCUUUACUGACUCUCUCCUCAUCUAUAGUUUUCUCUCUCCUUUCACUCUCUCUCCUCACCUUCACUGAUAAUCCGGCACCACUGUUAUUGUCCACCGUCCUCCAUCGGCGCUGCCCUUCGAAGUUACCUUGCUUGCUCAUGUUCUCUCCUCUUCAAAGAUCUAACCAUUACAAUUGAAGUCGUUGCUUGUUCCUACCUCCGCGGACUAUAUGUCGAAGGGAUUUGAAUUCUCCAGUUCCAACCACCGCCAACCAUCGCUCCAGCCAACGAUGCUCGUCAAGCCGCCUAACUAGCGUCUCCUCUUCUGUUCAAAGGGUUCUUCGUAUUUGUUGGAGAUGAAUCAAAUAGUUGGAUAGGCGUGAAAGGUGUGGUUGUCAAAGCCCCAAAGAGAUGACAACUAAGGGUAAGAAAUAUGGAAAAGGGAAAAGUGCAAUAAAAAGGGAGAAACUUUCAGCUAAGAAUGUUGCAUCUAAGAAGGAUGUCGCUACACAGGACUCUGGACCACGACAUCCUGGUAAGCGAGGUUUGCUAGCCUCCGAGAGAAGGAAGCGUUCACGGGCGACUAUUGUGAAAGGACAUUUGCAAGCUUUUGUUUUUGUAUUUUGUCGAAUGGCCAUUUCCAAAUCUUUGCAGGCAUUAUUAUAUCAGCCACCACGUUUGCAUUUAAAGUAAAUACGUAAGGGGCCUCCACCAUUUUUCUUAUGGGAUGUUGUAAUAAUUUCAAAACCUUGUUGAAUUGCAAUAUCUUUAGUCCAUUCAAAAGCCGCAUUUCGAGUAGCAAAA